This 1091-nucleotide long non-coding RNA is filed under the name Vulpes vulpes (red fox). RNAcentral's name for it is "lncRNA (ENSVVUG00000016901.1)". Lineage: Eukaryota; Metazoa; Chordata; Mammalia; Carnivora; Canidae. The record is from RNAcentral.
AAAAAUAUUCUGAGUGUCAACACUGCAGAGGGGAAUCUGCUGCCUAUUGUCUCUGUGUGAAUUUUUACCCUGCCUUCUGGUAUUCUAACUGAAGUCUAAGAGUGCUUCUCAGCUUAUUUAUUGAUGAUUUUGUCAAAAUUAUCUAAAAGAGCUUCAAUAAUCACAUUGACCUCUAAAAUCAGGUGAAGUUAUCCAUUAUAACUGGAAGGAUGAUUAGUUUCAUUAUAACAGACAAUAGAGAACAUUUAUAUGGUAUGGUAAAUACUCUUUGGAGGUAGGCAUUGAAUUUUUCUUUAGGUCUCUGAAUCCUAAGAAUUUUUUUUUGCUCCGGCUUCAUCUUUGAGAAGUAGUGAAAUUCUGAUUUACAUAAAUAUAUUUAUUGGAAUAUGCCUCUCUCCUAUUCAGGCACCUCCUGCCCACUUCUUAGCAUGUAAACUCAUUCUUACCAAAAAGGUCAAUUGAAAUGAGAAUAUUAAUUUAUUUAGGGGUCAUGUGGUUCAGGACAUGCUACCCCCAAAUGGGGCAUCUUGUCAUCUUGCUUUUUGCAGAGAGAAGAAAUUUGAGAAAUGGCAUGUGUAAGAAGGACUUUCUUACCUUCCCCUCAAGCAGGUCACAGGACCCUUCUGUAAGAGAUACCCUCUCUAUACCCAGAUGAAAGGAGCAUCCUUAUCUCUAAAGAUAAAGGGGCACUGAGAGGAAUCAGAAGGAAUAGGCUUUGCUCAGUUUCCCCAUUUACUCAAUAAGACUGUUUGUCCCAUCCUAUCUUUCACAACCUUCCAGCCUUCAUCAAAUCUGGCACAAAAACACCCAGGCUUAACUAUUUUCUUCAGGUCUUCAUUUCCUUAUGAAGGCUCUCAUGUUACAUAAAACUUAUGUUAAAUAAAUGUGUAUGCUUUUCUCUUAUUAAUCUGUCUUUUGUUACAGGAGCUCCAGUCAAGAACAGAUACCUUUCUGGCCCUACAGGAGGAUGUAUGUUGAUGUUACUUGAUGUCACUUUCAUAAAAAUACAACUGUGUACAACUGCUCAGUAUCAUAAAAAAAACCAUGUGGUGAUCAUCAUUUUUAGAGGCCAAGUUACAGGUAAAGUGUAA